UUCCUACGGGGGGCAGCAGUAGGGAAUAUUGCGCAAUGGGGGCAACCCUGACGCAGCGACGCCGCGUGAGUGAUGAAGGCCUUUCUGGUUGUAAAGCUCUGUAAAGAGGGAAGAAUGUCAGGCGGUAAUUCGUCUGAGUGACGGUACCUCUGAAGUAAGGACCGGCUAAACACGUGCCAGCAGCCGCGGUAAUACGUGUGGUCCUAGCGUUGUCCGGAAUAACUGGGCGUAAAGGGUGUGUAGGCGGAUAUCCGUGUCAGGUGUGAAAUUCCCCGGCUUAACUGGGGCAUUGCGCUUGAAACUGGAUAUCUGGAGCGUGUCAGGGGUAAGCGGAAUUCCCGGAGUAGCGGUGAAAUGCGUAGAUAUCGGGAAGAACACCGGUGGCGAAGGCGGCUUACUGGGACAUGGCUGACGCUGAGGCACGAAAGCGUGGGGAGCGAACGGGAUUAGAUACCCUGGUAGUC
RNAcentral lists this ribosomal RNA (464 nucleotides) under uncultured bacterium. RNAcentral describes it as "bacterial SSU rRNA". It matches the Rfam family "Bacterial small subunit ribosomal RNA", at positions 336 to 795 of the family's 1533-position model. The record is from RNAcentral.